GGGGGGACCAUCCUCCAAGGCUAAAUACUCCUGACUGACCGAUAGUGAACCAGUACCGUGAGGGAAAGGCGAAAAGAACCCCGGCGAGGGGAGUGAAAAAGAACCUGAAACCGUGUACGUACAAGCAGUGGGAGCCCCACCACUAAGCCAGUGGUGAACUCCACAUCCGCAUCCUUUGCUGAGGAUACGGUUAACGGAGCGAAAGCGACGUUCAACCGCAAAACAAGCAGAGGGGGCUUAGUGGUGGGGUGACUGCGUACCUUUUGUAUAAUGGGUCAGCGACUUAUAUUCUGUAGCAAGGUUAACCGAAUAGGGGAGCCGGAGGGAAACCGAGUCUUAAUUGGGCGUUAAGUUGCAGGGUAUAGACCCGAAACCCGGUGAUCUAGCCAUGGGCAGGUUGAAGGUUGGGUAACACUAACUGGAGGACCGAACCGACUAAUGUUGAAAAAUUAGCGGAUGACCUGUGGCUGGGGGUGAAAGGCCAAUCAAACCGGGAGAUAGCUGGUUCUCCCCGAAAGCUAUUUAGGUAGCGCCUCGUGAAUUCAUCUCCGGGGGUAGAGCACUGUUUCGGCUAGGGGGCCAUCCCGGCUUACCAACCCGAUGCAAACUGCGAAUACCGGAGAAUGUUAUCACGGGAGACACACGGCGGGUGCUAACGUCCGUCGUGAAGAGGGAAACAACCCAGACCGCCAGCUAAGGUCCCAAAGUCAUGGUUAAGUGGGAAACGAUGUGGGAAGGCCCAGACAGCCAGGAUGUUGGCUUAGAAGCAGCCAUCAUUUAAAGAAAGCGUAAUAGCUCACUGGUCGAGUCGGCCUGCGCGGAAGAUGUAACGGGGCUAAACCAU
This 844-nucleotide ribosomal RNA is filed under the name Salmonella enterica subsp. enterica serovar Typhimurium. RNAcentral's name for it is "partial 23S ribosomal RNA". It matches the Rfam family "Bacterial large subunit ribosomal RNA", at positions 446 to 1190 of the family's 2925-position model. The record is from RNAcentral. Lineage: Bacteria; Pseudomonadati; Pseudomonadota; Gammaproteobacteria; Enterobacterales; Enterobacteriaceae.